UCAGGUAUAGCUCAAUUGGCUAGAGCACUGGACUUUGACUCCAGAGGUUGUAGGUUCAAGUCCUACUGCCUGAU
RNAcentral lists this transfer RNA (74 nucleotides) under Aureispira sp. CCB-E. RNAcentral's name for it is "tRNA-Gln". It matches the Rfam family "tRNA". Rfam says of the family: Transfer RNA (tRNA) molecules are approximately 80 nucleotides in length. Lineage: Bacteria; Pseudomonadati; Bacteroidota; Saprospiria; Saprospirales; Saprospiraceae. The record is from RNAcentral.